This 77-nucleotide transfer RNA is filed under the name Gammaproteobacteria bacterium SCGC AG-212-F23. Its description in RNAcentral is "tRNA-Met". It matches the Rfam family "tRNA". Rfam says of the family: Transfer RNA (tRNA) molecules are approximately 80 nucleotides in length. Their secondary structure includes four short double-helical elements and three loops (D, anti-codon, and T loops). Further hydrogen bonds mediate the characteristic L-shaped molecular structure. tRNAs have two regions of fundamental functional importance: the anti-codon, which is responsible for specific mRNA codon recognition, and the 3' end, to which the tRNAs corresponding amino acid is attached (by aminoacyl-tRNA synthetases). tRNAs cope with the degeneracy of the genetic code in two manners: having more than one tRNA (with a specific anti-codon) for a particular amino acid; and 'wobble' base-pairing, i.e. permitting non-standard base-pairing at the 3rd anti-codon position. Lineage: Bacteria; Pseudomonadati; Pseudomonadota; Gammaproteobacteria. RNAcentral also lists the same sequence under 5 other names. The record is from RNAcentral.
GGGCCCAUAGCUCAGUUGGUUAGAGCAGAGGACUCAUAAUCCUUUGGUCCUAGGUUCGAGUCCUAGUGGGCCCACCA